Molecule: non-coding RNA, 150 nt
Filed under: human gut metagenome
Also listed under: 1 other name
Source: RNAcentral
AACUUAGAAGUCCUUGAUGUUCUUUCAGAGUGCAGCCAUGUUUGAACACGAUGUUCAAACAAGCCGCCACUGAGCCAUGGAUGGCGAAUUGGCGGCGAUGGCGGACAUAGAGAAAAAGAAAAUUAAGAACAUCUAGUACUUCUUAGUUUC